RNAcentral lists this ribosomal RNA (468 nucleotides) under uncultured bacterium. RNAcentral's name for it is "partial 16S ribosomal RNA". It matches the Rfam family "Bacterial small subunit ribosomal RNA", at positions 28 to 507 of the family's 1533-position model. The record is from RNAcentral.
GACGAACGCUGGCGGCGUGCUUAACACAUGCAAGUCGAACGGAAAGGCACUGCGUUUGUGCUGUUCUCGAUUGGCGAACGCGUGAGUAACACGUGAGUAACCUGCCCUUGUCUUUGGGAGAACUUCACGAAACUGGGGCUAAUAUCGUAUAGCAUCUCCUGCUGCGUUGUGGGCGUUGGAAAGUUUCGGCUGUUGGGGAUGGUCUCGCGGCUUAUGAGCUUGUUGGUGGGGGAGUGGCUUACCAAGGCUUUCACGGGUAGGCGGCCUGAGAGGGUGACCGGCCACAUUGGGACUGAGAGAGGGCGCAGAGUGCAACGGGGGGCAGCGGUGGGGAGUAUUACACAGUGGGCGGAAGCGUGAUGCAGCAACGUCGCGUGCGGGAUGCCGGCCUUCGGGUUAAGAACCGCUUUCGCAUGUGACGCAGCGGGAGUGACGGUACUCAGUAAAGAAGCACCGGCUAACUACGUG